GACGAACGCUGGCGGCGGGCUUAACACAUGCAAGUCGAACUGAAAGGCCCUGCUUUUGUGGGGUGCUCGAGUGGCGAACGGGUGAGUAACACGUGAGUAACCUGCCCUUGACUUUGGGAUAACUUCAGGAAACUGGGACUAAUACCGGAUAGGAGCUCCUGCUGCAUGGUGGGGGUUGGAAAGUUUCGGCGGUUGGGGAUGGACUCGCGGCGUAUCAGCUUGUUGGUGGGGUAGUGGCUUACUAAGUCUUUGACGGGUAUCCAGCCUGAGAGGGUGACCGGACAAAUUGGGACUGAGAUACAGCCAAGACUCCUACGGGAGGGAGCAGUGGGGAAUAUUGCACAAUGGGCGGCAGCCUGAUGCAGCAACGCCGCGUGCCGGAUGACGGCCUUCGGGUUGUAAUGCGCUUUCGCCUGUGACGAAGCGUGAGUGACGGGAAUGGGUAAAGAAGCACCGGCUAACUACGUG
Molecule: ribosomal RNA, 468 nt
Filed under: uncultured bacterium
Lineage: Bacteria
Description: partial 16S ribosomal RNA
Rfam family: Bacterial small subunit ribosomal RNA
Source: RNAcentral